RNAcentral lists this unclassified non-coding RNA (386 nucleotides) under Melitaea cinxia (Glanville fritillary). RNAcentral's name for it is "misc RNA ENSMCXG00005006523.1". The record is from RNAcentral. Lineage: Eukaryota; Metazoa; Arthropoda; Insecta; Lepidoptera; Nymphalidae.
AAAAAAAAUACGCUCAUUAUGCAAAUCAGUCGUGUUGCGCACUAGUUACCUAUAUAAAGUUUUGAAAAUCAAGUACAUCACAACUCCACAUCUUGAUAUUCAACUACAAACACUACAACAAUGGCAUUUUGAAGACUACGUUUGCUUGGCUACUGAUAGCUUUCGCGAUGGUGGUCGGGACCGAAGCCACACUCGUCAGAGAAUGCGAUAACUUCUGCUCCUACGAUUACGAAUAUUAUGAGAGGGACAAGUGCUGCCAAGAUUAUGGAUAUAGUGUCUCCAGAGACUGUUUAUAUCACAGCAUAAUGGACUGCGUAUGAUACUCCUGACUAACCUCGGCACAGAAUAUUUCUGUUACAAAAUGUACCUAAUUACUUUUUUUUUUU